Non-coding RNA from Rhamnusium bicolor, 72 nucleotides. The record is from the annotation of a GenBank genome assembly. NCBI's taxonomy places the organism in Eukaryota, Metazoa, Arthropoda, Insecta, Coleoptera, Cerambycidae.
UGCUUUGUGGUCGAGUGGUAAGGACACUUGUCUCUCGCUCUGGAGUCCUAGGUUCGAUCCCUGGUUGAGGAG